This 193-nucleotide unclassified non-coding RNA is filed under the name Glomeromycotina sp. RNAcentral's name for it is "partial contains small subunit ribosomal RNA, internal transcribed spacer 1, and 5.8S ribosomal RNA". The stretch from base 1 to 47 matches the Rfam family "Eukaryotic small subunit ribosomal RNA", at positions 1785 to 1831 of the family's 1831-position model. The record is from RNAcentral. Lineage: Eukaryota; Fungi; Glomeromycota.
AAAGUCGUAACAAGGUUUCCGUAGGUGAACCUGCGGAAGGAUCAUUAUAAAAUUUUCGUAUAUUUUAUUUUUAAAUAUAUAAAAAAAUGUAUUCAAAACCCAACACGCUUGUAACCAAUUUUUAAAACAAAUUAUAUCUCGCAUAUAAUUUAAUAAUUAAAAACAACUUUCAACAACGGAUCUCUUGGCUCUC